Molecule: ribosomal RNA, 469 nt
Filed under: uncultured bacterium
Lineage: Bacteria
Description: bacterial SSU rRNA
Rfam family: Bacterial small subunit ribosomal RNA
Source: RNAcentral
UCAGACUGAACGCUGGCGGCAGGCCUAAUACAUGCAAGUCGAACGGUAACAUAGGAAAAGCUUGCUUUCCUGAUGACGAGUGGCGGACGGGUGAGUAAAGUUGGGAAGCUACCUGAUAGAGGGGGACAACAGUUGGAAACGACUGCUAACACCGCAUACAGCCUGAGGGUGAAAGCAGCGAUGCGCUAUCAGAUGCGCCCAAAUGGGAUUAGCUAGUAGGUGAGGUAAAGGCUCACCUAGGCGACGAUCUCUAGCUGGUCUGAGAGGAUGAUCAGCCACAUUGGGACUGAGACACGGCCCAGACUCCUACGGGAGGCAGCAGUAGGGAAUAUUGCACAAUGGAGGAAACUCUGAAUGCAGCCAUGCCGCGUGUGUGAAGAAGGCCUUCGGGUUGUAAAGCACUUUCGGAGGGGAGGAGAAUGACGUUACCCUCAGAAGAAGCACCGGCUAACUCCGUGCCAGCCGCCGC